GCGGCAUUUUCCAUCACCGACAACAACUUCAACCCCGACUGCACUGCAGAAACGACUGUUCUGAUCUGCUCUGUUUGCAAGUGACAGCAAUCCAAAACGGUGUCCAAUUAGGACCGGACAUUUACUGUCUGAGGCCGGGCCUUUGCCUGGACGAAGUGACAGACAGCUGCCUCUGAAGCCGCAGCACCUCCUUCUGAGACUCUCUAAGGAGUUUCUCAUAUUCCACCCGAGACGACUGAACAGAGAAAUCCUGCAAAGGCACAGGAAGCAACAUCUGAAAUAAUAUGCUCAGAUUAGGAAGAAUCGGCUCCUAUUUCCAAAAAGGCACUGAGACAGGCAGCCUGUUCCUGCACUGUCAUCUAUCUGUCCUCAGCAGUGACGCAGCCUCUGUAAUACAGGCUUAGGUUGGAUGGCGCAGUACAAAAACUGUCCAGCAGAGAGCAGCCUUGUGGCAGAGAUGACAACUGAGGUUGAAUGGAGAAGAGUUUGAAAACUUUGUUGUUUUAGCUCAUUCUAGGCCAAAUAAUUUGACUUUGAUUAUUAUGAAAUAAAA
Molecule: long non-coding RNA, 553 nt
Organism: Xiphophorus couchianus (Monterrey platyfish)
Lineage: Eukaryota; Metazoa; Chordata; Actinopteri; Cyprinodontiformes; Poeciliidae
Exons: 3
Source: RefSeq, a predicted model, not a curated record